UAUCUGUGGAUUAAAGGUGGCUUUCGGGCUGUCGCAGAUGGAUGAGCCUGCGUUGGAUUAGCUAGUUGGUGGGGUAAGGGCCCACCAAGGCUACGAUCCAUAGCUGAUUUGAGAGGAUGAUCAGCCACAUUGGGACUGAGACACGGCCCAAACUCCUACGGGAGGCAGCAGUGGGGAAUAUUGGACAAUGGGGGCAACCCUGAUCCAGCAAUGCCAUGUGUGUGAAGAAGGCCCUAGGGUUGUAAAGCACUUUAGUUGGGGAGGAAAGCCUCAAGGUUAAUAGCCUUGGGGGAGGACGUUACCCAAAGAAUAAGCACCGGCUAACUCCGUGCCAGCAGCCGCGGUAAUACGGGGGGUGCAAGCGUUAAUCGGAAUUACUGGGCGUAAAGGGUCUGUAGGUGGUUUGUUAAGUCAGAUGUGAAAGCCCAGGGCUCAACCUUGGAACUGCAUUUGAUACUGGCAAACUAGAGUACGGUAGAGGAAUGGGGAAUUUCUGGUGUAGCGGUGAAAUGCGUAGAGAUCAGAAGGAACACCAAUGGCGAAGGCAACAUUCUGGACCGAUACUGACACUGAGGGACGAAAGCGUGGGGAUCAAACAGGAUUAGAUACCCUGGUAGUCCACGCUGUAAACGAUGAGUACUAGCUGUUGGAGUCGGUGUAAAGGCUCUAGUGGCGCAGCUAACGCGAUAAGUACUCCGCCUGGGGACUACGGCCGCAAGGCUAAAACUCAAAGGAAUUGACGGGGACCCGCACAAGCGGUGGAGCAUGUGGUUUAAUUCGAUGCAACGCGAAGAACCUUACCUGGUCUUGACAUCCUGCGAACUUUCUAGAGAUAGAUUGGUGCCUUCGGGAACGCAGUGACAGGUGCUGCACGGCUGUC
Molecule: ribosomal RNA, 880 nt
Filed under: uncultured bacterium
Lineage: Bacteria
Description: bacterial SSU rRNA
Rfam family: Bacterial small subunit ribosomal RNA
Source: RNAcentral